Non-coding RNA from Phrynosoma platyrhinos (Desert horned lizard), 71 nucleotides. Lineage: Eukaryota; Metazoa; Chordata; Lepidosauria; Squamata; Phrynosomatidae. The record is from the annotation of a GenBank genome assembly.
GCCAGCAUGAUGUAGUUGUUUAGCAUUGGACUAUGACUCUGGAGAUCAGGGUUCAAUUCCCUAAGUAGGCC